UGGGGAAUAUUGGACAAUGGGCGCAAGCCUGAUCCAGCCAUGCCGCGUGAGUGAUGAAGGCCCUAGGGUUGUAAAGCUCUUUCACCGGUGAAGAUAAUGACGGUAACCGGAGAAGAAUCCCCGGCUAACUUCGUGCCAGCAGCCGCGGUAAUACGAAGGGGGCUAGCGUUGUUCGGAUUUACUGGGCGUAAAGCGCACGUAGGCGGACUUUUAAGUCAGGGGUGAAAUCCCGGGGCUCAACCCCGGAACUGCCUUUGAUACUGGAAGUCUUGAGUAUGGUAGAGGUGAGUGGAAUUCCGAGUGUAGAGGUGAAAUUCGUAGAUAUUCGGAGGAACACCAGUGGCGAAGGCGGCUCACUGGACCAUUACUGACGCUGAGGUGCGAAAGCGUGGGGAGCAAACAGG
This 404-nucleotide ribosomal RNA is filed under the name Actinomycetes bacterium. Its description in RNAcentral is "Actinobacteria bacterium partial 16S ribosomal RNA". It matches the Rfam family "Bacterial small subunit ribosomal RNA", at positions 355 to 776 of the family's 1533-position model. The record is from RNAcentral. Lineage: Bacteria; Bacillati; Actinomycetota; Actinomycetes.